RNAcentral lists this Y RNA (109 nucleotides) under Carlito syrichta (Philippine tarsier). Its description in RNAcentral is "Y RNA (ENSTSYG00000023369.2)". It matches the Rfam family "Y RNA". Rfam says of the family: Y RNAs are components of the Ro ribonucleoprotein particle (Ro RNP), in association with Ro60 and La proteins. The Y RNAs and Ro60 and La proteins are well conserved, but the function of the Ro RNP is not known. In humans the RNA component can be one of four small RNAs -- hY1, hY3, hY4 and hY5. Lineage: Eukaryota; Metazoa; Chordata; Mammalia; Primates; Tarsiidae. The record is from Rfam by way of RNAcentral.
GGCUGAUCCGAAGGUAGUGAGUUAUCUCAGUUGAUUCUUCAGUCAGUUACAGAUUGAACUCCUUGUUCUACUCUUUCCCCUCUUCUCACUGCUGUACUUGACUACUAAA